UUUUCGAAAGAAUAUCGUGUGCAGCAUAUACAUGUCAUCACAUACUCUUUGAACAUUGGUUACUUGCUUUAUCACGAUUGCUAACAGCCCUUCGUAUGCUCACCAUCCUCGUUUGUUUCUUGGAGGCGUUCUCGCCUCGAGUAGAUGAGGUCGUGGAUUCAAAUGCUGUUCCGGUCUAACCAAAGACUAUAGAUUUGGUAUAUGCCAUUCGCUACCAUUCACUCGACCUUCUAUCAGUAAAAAAAAGGUUGCUUUAAGUCUGAUGAUUGUGUCCAGAUAGUGUGACAUGUCUACCUGUGGAAUUGUUAACCUGUGAGCAGUUUCAGCGUGUCAGCAUAGUGCAAAAAGGGACAAGUCAAAUCAUUUUUACAUGUACUUUUUUUUAAAAGAAGCAGAAGAUACAAACAAAGAGAGAAUCAAAACUAUACUAGAGGAGGAUGCCGGAUCAUCCGUACAGGACCACCGUCCGUAGGAAGGAAAACUGGGGAUCAACAAAGAUCGAGCGGGGUUAAAACACGCAAUCGCUUAUUUGACAGGUUAGUAAUCACUAUAGAUGAACUAUCUAGUCCCCGGAAGAGAGUUGUGAAUUAUGCACGCUGGUGAAGGCCUUACUGUGACUUUUAAGAUGGGGAACAGCAAUAGAAACGUAAUGAAUUGAUAUACUUUAUUUAGAUUUAAAUAUUAUUUGUUACAUCCAAUGGUAUAAAAAUUAAUUAAUCCAUUAGUUUGUAAUUAUUUUACAUUAAGUCCUAUGCUAUUUCUUGUAAUACCCCUUAAAUUCUGAAAAUCAUUAUAUCAUUUCAGUCCCCGAAUCAAAUGUAUGCAAGCAAGGGAGA
Mytilus californianus (California mussel) is the source of this 836-nucleotide long non-coding RNA. RefSeq lists it as uncharacterized. The transcript has 3 exons. Lineage: Eukaryota; Metazoa; Mollusca; Bivalvia; Mytilida; Mytilidae. The record is from RefSeq and is a predicted model, not a curated record.